RNAcentral lists this long non-coding RNA (350 nucleotides) under Ictidomys tridecemlineatus (thirteen-lined ground squirrel). Its description in RNAcentral is "lncRNA (ENSSTOG00000031285.1)". Lineage: Eukaryota; Metazoa; Chordata; Mammalia; Rodentia; Sciuridae. The record is from RNAcentral.
GAAGAAAGUGGCUGUCCUGCCCUGCAGUGACAGCACCAUGGCACCUGUGAGUGUGGCCGGCCAGGCAGAGGUUGGGAAGACUGAUGUCUGCACCAUCACAGACAGAGAGGACAGCAGCAGCCAUCACCACGAAGGAACCACCAAGCCAGCGGGAGUUGUGGGCAGUGACUGAUGUUAGCAAGUCCAAGGCUGGACUGGGCAACGGAGCCUCAUGGAUGCUACCCACACUCUUCCCUCCCAGGUGUCUCCUUGUUAGCCUGUGGAUCCCUGUCCUUGUUUCUGGUGAGUUCUGAUUGUUACUCUGCAGCCCUCAGACUCUUGUUGCUGGAUUCCAGACAGGAAAUGGACAC